RNAcentral lists this ribosomal RNA (442 nucleotides) under uncultured bacterium. RNAcentral's name for it is "partial 16S ribosomal RNA". It matches the Rfam family "Bacterial small subunit ribosomal RNA", at positions 338 to 795 of the family's 1533-position model. The record is from RNAcentral.
CCUACGGGAGGCAGCAGUGGGGAAUAUUGGGCAAUGGGCGCAAGCCUGACCCAGCGACGCCGCGUGAGGGAAGACGGUCUUCGGAUUGUAAACCUCUUUCAGCAGGGAAGACAAAAGGACGGUACCUGCAGAAUAAGCCACGGCUAACUACGUGCCAGCAGCCGCGGUAAUACGUAGGUGGCAAGCGUUAUCCGGAAUUACUGGGUGUAAAGGGUGUGUAGGCGGUAUGUCAAGUCAAGGGUGAAAUCCCCGCGCUCAACGUGGGAACUGCCUUUGAAACUGGCAAACUGGAGUGUGUUAGAGGCUAGUGGAAUUCCAGGUGUAGGAGUGAAAUGCGUAGAUAUCUGGAGGAACAUCAGUGGCGAAGGCGACUAUCUGGCACAUAACUGACGCUGAGGAGCGAAAGCGUGGGUAGCAAACAGGAUUAGAUACCCCUGUAGUC